GGCGUCCUCCCAGAGUUGAGCUAGUGGGUCCUCAUCAUGAUCCAACAAGUUGUUAAGAUAGACAAAAGUUGGCCCAAAAACUUUUUUCCAUGGCUCAUUAGGCUGGAGUUUAAGAACUAUAUCCUCUCCUGCGUAAUGUGCACUAAGAAACAUCUGAAACAUACAAGAAAUAUUGUAAAAUGAUUAAUGUGAUUGGCUUUUUUUGUUUCACAUAUCAUUUUAAAAUUUCCCAAAUUUAAGGGAUCAAUCUAUUCAACAUUUUCAAAAAGAUUCAUGAAUGAUACUUUUUUC
This 291-nucleotide long non-coding RNA is filed under the name Medicago truncatula (barrel medic). RNAcentral describes it as "lncRNA gene31667". The record is from RNAcentral. Lineage: Eukaryota; Viridiplantae; Streptophyta; Magnoliopsida; Fabales; Fabaceae.